Molecule: ribosomal RNA, 253 nt
Filed under: uncultured bacterium
Lineage: Bacteria
Description: partial 16S ribosomal RNA
Rfam family: Bacterial small subunit ribosomal RNA
Source: RNAcentral
UACGUAGGGUGCGAGCGUUGUCCGGAAUUAUUGGGCGUAAAGGGCUCGUAGGCGGUUUGUCGCGUCGGGAGUGAAAUCCACUGGCUUAACUGGUGGCUUGCUUUCGAUACGGGCAGACUGGAGGUAUGCAGGGGAGAACGGAAUUCCUGGUGUAGCGGUGAAAUGCGCAGAUAUCAGGAGGAACACCGGUGGCGAAGGCGGGUCUCUGGACAGUUCCUGACACUGAGGCACGAAGGCCAGGGGAGCAAACGGG